This 468-nucleotide ribosomal RNA is filed under the name uncultured bacterium. RNAcentral describes it as "partial 16S ribosomal RNA". It matches the Rfam family "Bacterial small subunit ribosomal RNA", at positions 28 to 507 of the family's 1533-position model. The record is from RNAcentral.
GACGAACGCUGGCGGCGUGCUUAACACAUGCAAGUCGAACGGAAAGGCCCUGCUUUUGUGGGGUGCUCGAGUGGCGAACGGGUGAGUAACACGUGAGUAACCUGCCCUUGACUUUGGGAUAACUUCAGGAAACUGGGGUUAAUAUCGGAUAGGAGCUGACGUAGCAGGGUGGGGGUUGGAAAGUUUCGGCGGUUGGGGAUGGACGCGCGGCUUACGAGCUUGUUGGUGGGGUAGGGGCUGACCAAGGCUUUGACGGGUAGGCGGCCUGGGAGGGGGAACGGGCUCCUGGGGCCUACGGGACGGCCCAGUCGGCAACGGGAGGCAGCAGGGGGGAGUCUGGCACAAUGGGCGCAAGCCUGAUGCGACAACGCCGCGUGCGUAAUGACGGCCUUCGGGUUGUAAACCGCUUUCGCCUGUGACGAAGCGGGAGUGACGGUAAUGGGUAAAGAAGCACCGGCUAACUACGUG